This 73-nucleotide transfer RNA is filed under the name Ovis aries (sheep). It matches the Rfam family "tRNA". From Rfam's summary of the family: Transfer RNA (tRNA) molecules are approximately 80 nucleotides in length. Their secondary structure includes four short double-helical elements and three loops (D, anti-codon, and T loops). Lineage: Eukaryota; Metazoa; Chordata; Mammalia; Artiodactyla; Bovidae. The record is from Rfam by way of RNAcentral.
UCCCUGCUGGUCUAGUGGUUAAGACUCUGAGCUCCCAGUGCAGAGGGCUUGGGUUCAAUCCCUGGUCAGGGAA